RNAcentral lists this ribosomal RNA (152 nucleotides) under uncultured bacterium. Its description in RNAcentral is "partial 16S ribosomal RNA". It matches the Rfam family "Bacterial small subunit ribosomal RNA", at positions 200 to 353 of the family's 1533-position model. The record is from RNAcentral.
AUUAAAGGAUUCCGGUAAAGGAUGGGGAUGCGUUCCAUUAGGUUGUUGGUGAGGUAACGGCCCACCAAGCCUUCGAUGGAUAGGGGUUCUGAGAGGAAGGUCCCCCACAUUGGAACUGAGACACGGUCCAAACUCCUACGGGAGGCAGCAUG